This 253-nucleotide ribosomal RNA is filed under the name uncultured bacterium. RNAcentral's name for it is "partial 16S ribosomal RNA". It matches the Rfam family "Bacterial small subunit ribosomal RNA", at positions 524 to 776 of the family's 1533-position model. The record is from RNAcentral.
UACGUAGGGCGCAAGCGUUGUCCGGAAUUAUUGGGCGUAAUGAGCUCGUAGGCGGUUUGUCGCGUCUGCUGUGAAAACCUAAGGCUCAACCUUGGGCUUGCAGUGGGUACGGGCAGACUAGAGUGCGGUAGGGGUGACUGGAAUUCCUGGUGUAGCGGUGGAAUGCGCAGAUAUCAGGAGGAACACCGAUGGCGAAGGCAGGUCACUGGGCCGCAACUGACGCUGAGGAGCGAAAGCAUGGGGAGCGAACAGG